AGUCGCGCGCGUUCAGCACGCGGGAGGCCGCGGCACUUGUGGUGGGCGCCGGACGCCGCAUGCGCAUGGCCGAGCGGUCGAUGUGAGGCGUUAAGGUCUCGUUAGCCACGUUUGAAUCGCCGCUGACGAUCCGUACUCGCUUCAAACUCUUCGAAACAUCCCCGACACAUCCUUGCGCUCACCUUCCCGACGCACGAUUCCACCGCGGAGCGGACAAUAAUGCUGCGAGCCUUGCGCAUCCG
This 242-nucleotide unclassified non-coding RNA is filed under the name Hevea brasiliensis (rubber tree). Lineage: Eukaryota; Viridiplantae; Streptophyta; Magnoliopsida; Malpighiales; Euphorbiaceae. The record is from RNAcentral.